UUGAACGCUGGCGGCAUGCCUUACACAUGCAAGUCGCACGGUAACAGGUCUUCGGAUGCUGACGAGUGGCGAACGGGUGAGUAAUACAUCGGAACGUGCCCAGACGUGGGGGAUAACGAGGCGAAAGCUUUGCUAAUACCGCAUACGAUCUAAGGAUGAAAGCAGGGGACCGCAAGGCCUUGCGCGUUUGGAGCGGCCGAUGGCAGAUUAGGUAGUUGGUGGGAUAAAAGCUUACCAAGCCGACGAUCUGUAGCUGGUCUGAGAGGACGACCAGCCACACUGGGACUGAGACACGGCCCAGACUCCUACGGGAGGCAGCAGUGGGGAAUUUUGGACAAAGGGCGAAAGCCUGAUCCAGCAAUGCCGCGUGCAGGAUGAAGGCCUUCGGGUUGUAAACUGCUUUUGUACGGAACGAAAAGGCUCUGGCUAAUACCUGGGGCACAUGACGGUACCGUAAGAAUAAGCACCGGCUAACUACGUG
RNAcentral lists this ribosomal RNA (481 nucleotides) under uncultured bacterium. Its description in RNAcentral is "partial 16S ribosomal RNA". It matches the Rfam family "Bacterial small subunit ribosomal RNA", at positions 30 to 507 of the family's 1533-position model. The record is from RNAcentral.